This 253-nucleotide ribosomal RNA is filed under the name uncultured bacterium. Its description in RNAcentral is "partial 16S ribosomal RNA". It matches the Rfam family "Bacterial small subunit ribosomal RNA", at positions 524 to 776 of the family's 1533-position model. The record is from RNAcentral.
UACGGAGGGAGCUAGCGUUGUUCGGAAUUACUGGGCGUAAAGCGCACGUAGGCGGCUAUUCAAGUCAGAGGUGAAAGCCCGGGGCUCAACCCCGGAACUGCCCUUGAAACUAGGUAGCUAGAAUCUUGGAGAGGUCAGUGGAAUUCCGAGUGUAGAGGUGAAAUUCGUAGAUAUUCGGAAGAACACCAGUGGCGAAGGCGACUGACUGGACAAGUAUUGACGCUGAGGUGCGAAAGCGUGGGGAGCAAACAGG